RNAcentral lists this long non-coding RNA (596 nucleotides) under Sarcophilus harrisii (Tasmanian devil). RNAcentral describes it as "lncRNA (ENSSHAG00000028879.1)". Lineage: Eukaryota; Metazoa; Chordata; Mammalia; Dasyuromorphia; Dasyuridae. The record is from RNAcentral.
GGACAGCUCCAGUAGCCGGAGCAGCGUGUCCUCUGAGCGCCUGACAGUAAUGAUUAAUUUCAUCCCGCCUCCUGGGAGAGAGUCCCGCCCGGCAACUGACCAGCGGCCCAGGUGGACAGCACUGGUCACGAGACUCCUCGGCACUAGCUCCAAGAGCCUUCCGCAACUACAAAUCGGGAAAUGAACAGAUCUGAGUGGAGUCCAAAAGGCAAGUCAAAAAGAAGGUGUCUGGAGUCUUUAUUAGUGUCCCUACACUACAAAGUGAGAGUCCUUUAGAAGACAGACAAGGAGACAAAUUGGAAACUCAGAAACUUUCCAAGAAUGAAGUUAUGGGAGCAAAGAAGGCAAUGAGCCUGCAGUGCCCUGUCUUUUGGAGAUAGCAAUUCAGUGUUGAAGGAGCAAGACCAAGGCUAGGCAGCAUGCAGGGAAAAGAGUUCUGUCAGCAAAACCCUGAUUACAAACAGGUGGCUCCAACUACAAAAGACAGAAAGGCAGUAAGUCACAAACAGCCAAACCCAGAACUAUGUGCACAUAGUUUUUCAUUCUGGCAUUUUAACGAGAAAUAAAAGGAGAUUUUUUUCUCUGCUAAGGAAAAA